Molecule: ribosomal RNA, 281 nt
Filed under: uncultured Desulfobacteraceae bacterium
Lineage: Bacteria; Pseudomonadati; Thermodesulfobacteriota; Desulfobacteria; Desulfobacterales; Desulfobacteraceae
Description: partial 16S ribosomal RNA
Rfam family: Bacterial small subunit ribosomal RNA
Source: RNAcentral
AACCCUUAUCUUUAGUUACCAUCAUUAAGUUGGGGACUCUAAAGAUACUGCCCCGGUUAACGGGGAGGAAGGUGGGGAUGACGUCAAGUCCUCAUGGCCUUUAUGUCCAGGGCUACACACGUGCUACAAUGGGUUGUACAAAGGGUUGCGAACUCGCGAGAGUAAGCCGAUCCCAAAAAGCAACUCUUAGUUCGGAUUGGAGUCUGCAACUCGACUCCAUGAAGCUGGAAUCGCUAGUAAUCGUGGAUCAGCAUGCCACGGUGAAUACGUUCCCGGGCCUU